UACGUAGGGUGCGAGCGUUGUCCGGAAUUAUUGGGCGUAAAGAGCUUGUAGGCGGUUUGUCGCGUCUGCUGUGAAAAUCCGGGGCUCAACCCCGGACUUGCAGUGGGUACGGGCAGACUAGAGUGUGGUAGGGGAGACUGGAAUUCCUGGUGUAGCGGUGAAGUGCGCAGAUAUCAGGAGGAACACCGAUGGCGAAGGCAGGUCUCUGGGCCACUACAUGAC
Molecule: ribosomal RNA, 222 nt
Filed under: uncultured bacterium
Lineage: Bacteria
Description: partial 16S ribosomal RNA
Rfam family: Bacterial small subunit ribosomal RNA
Source: RNAcentral